This is a non-coding RNA of Camelina sativa (false flax), 1165 nucleotides long. Lineage: Eukaryota; Viridiplantae; Streptophyta; Magnoliopsida; Brassicales; Brassicaceae. The record is from RefSeq and is a predicted model, not a curated record.
AACCUCUUUGGAUCUCAAGAAAGUAGUCAUCCAUGGCGGCCACACUGAUCAGAUCCAUCGUCAGAAAUUUUAAACGGCCAGCCACCACGGCCUCAGCCACUUACUCGACAGGUGGUGGUGGUGGUUGUACUUGUACGAGCGGAAGAACCGGGAAAGUCAAAGCGGUUUCGUCUUUUCUCUCUCUUGAGCGAUAUCAAUGAGGCAAAGUAACCGUUCGUUUUUCUUCUCUAUUUCCGGCCGGCGUCGACUUCUCCGGCGUAGAAGGUUUGUUUCCGGCGCUUUCUAUUGUUUCCGGUGUAUUUUCCGGUUAUUAACCGGUGUUUGUCCUCUUACCCGAGGGUAUGAAGGUUACACUUGGGUUUUUGAUCCUGGAAUCAAUGGAGGAAUCAAACCGGUGGACAUAAUUAACAGCAGAGAUCGAACGGGGUAUGUUUCUCGAAUUGAUUUGGGAUUAAGUUCUAUCCUUUGAUUUCUGGUUAUUUGUGUACAUUUUUGGGUUGAGUACUCUUCUGAACAAAGCAACGGACUUCUUGUGACCUUAACAUUUUCCAAUGGUGAUGUUUUCCCAUUGCCAUGUUUGGAGUAUUUCAUCUUAUCGAUCGAUUGCAUGGGCUGUGGAGUAUAUGGUUUUAAAGUUAAGAUGAAGAACUUUUAUGAUGAUGGUGACAAAAUUCCUUGGGCGGAAGCUUUCUUUUUACCGGAACGAGUUCAUCGUUAUAUUCAUGGGAUUAGCUUUUGGUAUAAUCUAACACAAGUCAUGGUCGUGAUGGGAAGGAUAACGGCGACUAGUGGUGAUGGUGUUGUUCUCUUUUUUCUUUGGUCGAGAAAUUCUGCUUCUAUGACAAGGAAAAUUGUGGCAACUAACCGACUUCAAUGCAUUUGGCGUUUCGAGCAUGUUAUAUUGAGUUUUCAAAGACAAGAAUCAGAAUCACUUCAAGCAACAUUUCAAAUUUUUUAUUUAACAAAAGUAAUUGUAAAAAGUAUUUUGGAGUUUCAUCUAUAAGAUGGUAGUCAAUUACCAGUAUGGGAAGAGGGGACGUAACAGAUUUUUUCUGUUAGCUUGUAAGGCUUUCGAUUGCAAAGCAGGGUCAUUUCGACUUCUUCAUCGAAAUUGUUUUUAAUUUCCUUUAUUUGUGUCAUUGGUUAUAUAUGAGUGGUUCAUGUA